This 520-nucleotide ribosomal RNA is filed under the name uncultured bacterium. RNAcentral describes it as "bacterial SSU rRNA". It matches the Rfam family "Bacterial small subunit ribosomal RNA", at positions 8 to 518 of the family's 1533-position model. The record is from RNAcentral.
AGAGUUUGAUUAUGGCUCAGGAUGAACGCUAGCUACAGGCUUAACACAUGCAAGUCGAGGGGCAGCGGGAAGAAAGCUUGCUUCUUGCCGGCGACCGGCGCACGGGUGAGUAACGCGUAUCCAACCUUCCCCUUAGUAGGGCAUAGCCCGGCGAAAGUCGGAUUAAUACCCUAUGUUAUUCGUAGAGGACAUCUGAAAUGAAUCAAAGAUUCAUCGCUAAGGGAUGGGGAUGCGUCUGAUUAGGUAGUAGGCGGGGUAACGGCCCACCUAGCCUACGAUCAGUAGGGGUUCUGAGAGGAAGGUCCCCCACAUUGGAACUGAGACACGGUCCAAACUCCUACGGGAGGCAGCAGUGAGGAAUAUUGGUCAAUGGACGAGAGUCUGAACCAGCCAAAGUAGCGUGCAGGAUGACGGCCCUAUGGGUUGUAAACUGCUUUUAUACGGGGAUAAAGUGAGGGACGUGUCCCUUUUUGUAGGUACCGUAUGAAUAAGGACCGGCUAAUUCCGUGCCAGCAGCGGC